GAAAUUACGCCUUCCAUGAAGCUGGAUUCGCUAGUAAUCGCGCAUCAGCCACGGCGCGGUGAAUACGUUCCCGGGCCUUGUACACACCGCCCGUCAAGCCAUGGAAGCCGGGAGUGCCUGAAGUGCGUGAGCGCAAGCAGCGCCCUAAGGUAAAACCGGUGACUGGGGCUAAGUCGUAACAAGGUAUC
RNAcentral lists this ribosomal RNA (188 nucleotides) under uncultured bacterium. RNAcentral's name for it is "partial 16S ribosomal RNA". It matches the Rfam family "Bacterial small subunit ribosomal RNA", at positions 1307 to 1500 of the family's 1533-position model. The record is from RNAcentral.